RNAcentral lists this ribosomal RNA (292 nucleotides) under uncultured bacterium. RNAcentral's name for it is "partial 16S ribosomal RNA". It matches the Rfam family "Bacterial small subunit ribosomal RNA", at positions 505 to 796 of the family's 1533-position model. The record is from RNAcentral.
GUGUCAGCAGCCGCGGUAAUACGUAGGUGACGAGCGUUAUCCGGAAUUACUGGGCGUAAAGCGCACGCAAGCGGUUGGACAAGUCUGGCGUGAAAUCUCCUGGCUUAACUAGGAGCGGUCGCUGGAGACUGUUCGGCUUGAGGCGAUGAGAGGGGUGCAGAAUUCCCGGUGUAGUGGUGGAAUGCGUAGAGAUCGGGAGGAAUACCAGUGGCGAAAGCGGCACCCUGGCGUCGUACUGACGCACAUGUGCGAAAGCGUGGGGAGCGAACGGGAUUAGAUACCCCUGUAGUCC